RNAcentral lists this ribosomal RNA (2807 nucleotides) under Escherichia coli. RNAcentral describes it as "bacterial LSU rRNA". It matches the Rfam family "Bacterial large subunit ribosomal RNA". The record is from RNAcentral. Lineage: Bacteria; Pseudomonadati; Pseudomonadota; Gammaproteobacteria; Enterobacterales; Enterobacteriaceae.
GGGUUGUGAGGUUAAGCGACUAAGCGUACACGGUGGAUGCCCUGGCAGUCAGAGGCGAUGAAGGACGUGCUAAUCUGCGAUAAGCGUCGGUAAGGUGAUAUGAACCGUUAUAACCGGCGAUUUCCGAAUGGGGAAACCCAGUGUGUUUCGACACACUAUCAUUAACUGAAUCCAUAGGUUAAUGAGGCGAACCGGGGGAACUGAAACAUCUAAGUACCCCGAGGAAAAGAAAUCAACCGAGAUUCCCCCAGUAGCGGCGAGCGAACGGGGAGGAGCCCAGAGCCUGAAUCAGUGUGUGUGUUAGUGGAAGCGUCUGGAAAGGCGCGCGAUACAGGGUGACAGCCCCGUACACAAAAAUGCACAUACUGUGAGCUCGAUGAGUAGGGCGGGACACGUGGUAUCCUGUCUGAAUAUGGGGGGACCAUCCUCCAAGGCUAAAUACUCCUGACUGACCGAUAGUGAACCAGUACCGUGAGGGAAAGGCGAAAAGAACCCCGGCGAGGGGAGUGAAAAAGAACCUGAAACCGUGUACGUACAAGCAGUGGGAGCCUCUUUAUGGGGUGACUGCGUACCUUUUGUAUAAUGGGUCAGCGACUUAUAUUCUGUAGCAAGGUUAACCGAAUAGGGGAGCCGAAGGGAAACCGAGUCUUAACUGGGCGUUAAGUUGCAGGGUAUAGACCCGAAACCCGGUGAUCUAGCCAUGGGCAGGUUGAAGGUUGGGUAACACUAACUGGAGGACCGAACCGACUAAUGUUGAAAAAUUAGCGGAUGACUUGUGGCUGGGGGUGAAAGGCCAAUCAAACCGGGAGAUAGCUGGUUCUCCCCGAAAGCUAUUUAGGUAGCGCCUCGUGAAUUCAUCUCCGGGGGUAGAGCACUGUUUCGGCAAGGGGGUCAUCCCGACUUACCAACCCGAUGCAAACUGCGAAUACCGGAGAAUGUUAUCACGGGAGACACACGGCGGGUGCUAACGUCCGUCGUGAAGAGGGAAACAACCCAGACCGCCAGCUAAGGUCCCAAAGUCAUGGUUAAGUGGGAAACGAUGUGGGAAGGCCCAGACAGCCAGGAUGUUGGCUUAGAAGCAGCCAUCAUUUAAAGAAAGCGUAAUAGCUCACUGGUCGAGUCGGCCUGCGCGGAAGAUGUAACGGGGCUAAACCAUGCACCGAAGCUGCGGCAGCGACGCUUAUGCGUUGUUGGGUAGGGGAGCGUUCUGUAAGCCUGUGAAGGUGUGCUGUGAGGCAUGCUGGAGGUAUCAGAAGUGCGAAUGCUGACAUAAGUAACGAUAAAGCGGGUGAAAAGCCCGCUCGCCGGAAGACCAAGGGUUCCUGUCCAACGUUAAUCGGGGCAGGGUGAGUCGACCCCUAAGGCGAGGCCGAAAGGCGUAGUCGAUGGGAAACAGGUUAAUAUUCCUGUACUUGGUGUUACUGCGAAGGGGGGACGGAGAAGGCUAUGUUGGCCGGGCGACGGUUGUCCCGGUUUAAGCGUGUAGGCUGGUUUUCCAGGCAAAUCCGGAAAAUCAAGGCUGAGGCGUGAUGACGAGGCACUACGGUGCUGAAGCAACAAAUGCCCUGCUUCCAGGAAAAGCCUCUAAGCAUCAGGUAACAUCAAAUCGUACCCCAAACCGACACAGGUGGUCAGGUAGAGAAUACCAAGGCGCUUGAGAGAACUCGGGUGAAGGAACUAGGCAAAAUGGUGCCGUAACUUCGGGAGAAGGCACGCUGAUAUGUAGGUGAAGCGACUUGCUCGUGGAGCUGAAAUCAGUCGAAGAUACCAGCUGGCUGCAACUGUUUAUUAAAAACACAGCACUGUGCAAACACGAAAGUGGACGUAUACGGUGUGACGCCUGCCCGGUGCCGGAAGGUUAAUUGAUGGGGUUAGCGGUAACGCGAAGCUCUUGAUCGAAGCCCCGGUAAACGGCGGCCGUAACUAUAACGGUCCUAAGGUAGCGAAAUUCCUUGUCGGGUAAGUUCCGACCUGCACGAAUGGCGUAAUGAUGGCCAGGCUGUCUCCACCCGAGACUCAGUGAAAUUGAACUCGCUGUGAAGAUGCAGUGUACCCGCGGCAAGACGGAAAGACCCCGUGAACCUUUACUAUAGCUUGACACUGAACAUUGAGCCUUGAUGUGUAGGAUAGGUGGGAGGCUUUGAAGUGUGGACGCCAGUCUGCAUGGAGCCGGCCUUGAAAUACCACCCUUUAAUGUUUGAUGUUCUAACGUUGGCCCCUGAUCGGGGUUGCGGACAGUGUCUGGUGGGUAGUUUGACUGGGGCGGUCUCCUCCUAAAGAGUAACGGAGGAGCACGAAGGUUGGCUAAUCCUGGUCGGACAUCAGGAGGUUAGUGCAAUGGCAUAAGCCAGCUUGACUGCGAGCGUGACGGCGCGAGCAGGUGCGAAAGCAGGUCAUAGUGAUCCGGUGGUUCUGAAUGGAAGGGCCAUCGCUCAACGGAUAAAAGGUACUCCGGGGAUAACAGGCUGAUACCGCCCAAGAGUUCAUAUCGACGGCGGUGUUUGGCACCUCGAUGUCGGCUCAUCACAUCCUGGGGCUGAAGUAGGUCCCAAGGGUAUGGCUGUUCGCCAUUUAAAGUGGUACGCGAGCUGGGUUUAGAACGUCGUGAGACAGUUCGGUCCCUAUCUGCCGUGGGCGCUGGAGAACUGAGGGGGGCUGCUCCUAGUACGAGAGGACCGGAGUGGACGCAUCACUGGUGUUCGGGUUGUCAUGCCAAUGGCACUGCCCGGUAGCUAAAUGCGGAAGAGAUAAGUGCUGAAAGCAUCUAAGCACGAAACUUGCCCCGAGAUGAGUUCUCCCUGAGACUU